RNAcentral lists this non-coding RNA (163 nucleotides) under bovine gut metagenome. RNAcentral's name for it is "Lysine riboswitch". It matches the Rfam family "Lysine riboswitch aptamer". From Rfam's summary of the family: Riboswitches are metabolite binding domains within certain messenger RNAs that serve as precision sensors for their corresponding targets. Allosteric rearrangement of mRNA structure is mediated by ligand binding, and this results in modulation of gene expression. This family includes riboswitches that sense lysine in a number of genes involved in lysine metabolism, including lysC. The record is from RNAcentral.
AGAUAGAGGCGCGGGGUUCAUGAGUAGGCUCCCAGCACGGAUGCAGCAAAUCCGGGGGCUGAAAGGGAACAUCGCCGAAGCGAAAGGAAAGCUGCUGCGCUGCUUUUCGCUGGGCUGACGGAGAAUAUCCGGCAGACUGUCACGCAAGUGGAGCGCUAUCGUG